RNAcentral lists this ribosomal RNA (574 nucleotides) under uncultured bacterium. Its description in RNAcentral is "partial 16S ribosomal RNA". It matches the Rfam family "Bacterial small subunit ribosomal RNA", at positions 355 to 920 of the family's 1533-position model. The record is from RNAcentral.
UGGGGAAUAUUGGACAAUGGGGGCAACCCUGAUCCAGCCAUGCCGCGUGUGUGAAGAAGGCCUUUUGGUUGUAAAGCACUUUAAGCAGGGAGGAGAGGCUAAUGGUUAAUACCCAUUAGAUUAGACGUUACCUGCAGAAUAAGCACCGGCUAACUCUGUGCCAGCAGCCGCGGUAAUACAGAGGGUGCGAGCGUUAAUCGGAAUUACUGGGCGUAAAGCGAGUGUAGGUGGCUCAUUAAGUCACAUGUGAAAUCCCCGGGCUUAACCUGGGAACUGCAUGUGAUACUGGUGGUGCUAGAAUAUGUGAGAGGGAAGUAGAAUUCCAGGUGUAGCGGUGAAAUGCGUAGAGAUCUGGAGGAAUACCGAUGGCGGAGGCAGCUUCCUGGCAUAAUAUUGACACUGAGAUUCGAAAGCGUGGGUAGCAAACAGGAUUAGAUGCCCUGGUAGUCCACGCCGUAAACGAUGUCUACUAGCCGUUGGGGUCCUUGAGACUUUAGUGGCGCAGUUAACGCGAUAAGUAGACCGCCUGGGGAGUACGGCCGCAAGGUUAAAACUCAAAUGAAUUGACGGGGUC